This 455-nucleotide ribosomal RNA is filed under the name uncultured bacterium. RNAcentral describes it as "bacterial SSU rRNA". It matches the Rfam family "Bacterial small subunit ribosomal RNA", at positions 28 to 480 of the family's 1533-position model. The record is from RNAcentral.
GAUGAACGCUGGCGGCGUGCUUAACACAUGCAAGUCGAACGAAGCACUUCAAUCGAUUUCUUCGGAAUGAAGUUUUAGUGACUGAGUGGCGGACGGGUGAGUAACGCGUGGGUAACCUGCCUCACACAGGGGGAUAACAGUUGGAAACGGCUGCUAAUACCGCAUAAGCGCACAGUACCGCAUGGUACAGUGCGAAAAACUCCGGUGGUGUGAGAUGGACCCGCGUCUGAUUAGCUAGUUGGCAGGGCGACGGCCUACCAAGGCGACGAUCAGUAGCCGACCUGAGAGGGUGACCGGCCACAUUGGGACUGAGACACGGCCCAAACUCCUACGGGAGGCAGCAGUGGGGAAUAUUGCACAAUGGGGGAAACCCUGAUGCAGCGACGCCGCGUGAGCGAAGAAGUAUUUCGGUAUGUAAACUUCUAUCAAUAGGGACGAAGAAAGUGACGGUACCU